RNAcentral lists this ribosomal RNA (407 nucleotides) under uncultured bacterium. RNAcentral's name for it is "partial 16S ribosomal RNA". It matches the Rfam family "Bacterial small subunit ribosomal RNA", at positions 30 to 526 of the family's 1533-position model. The record is from RNAcentral.
AUUGAACGCUGGCGGCAGGCCUAAUACAUGCAAGUCGAGCGGAGCGGCGGACGGGUGAGUAAUGCCUAGGAAUCUGCCUGUUAGUGGGGGAUCACGUCCGGCAACAGGCCCUUAUAUCACAUACUAUCAGCUAAGCCUAGGUCGGAUUAGCGAGUUGGUGGGGUAAUGGCCUACCAAGGCGACGAUCCGUACCUGGUCUGAGAGGAUGAUCAGUCACACUGGAACUGAGACACGGUCCAGACGCCUACGGGAGGCAGCAGUGGGGAAUCUUGGACAAUGGGCGAAAGCCUGAUCCAGCCAUGCCGCGUGUGUGAAGAAGGUCUUCGGAUUGUAAAGCACUGUAAGUUGGGAGGCGUUACCAACAGAGUAAGCACCGGCUAACUACGUGCCAGCAGCCGCGGUAAUUC